CUUUAGGGCAGCUGUAGCCUCUUUGGUGAAGAAAUGUUUGUUUAUUUGUUUGUUUGGUGUGGCUGCUGGUAGUUGGAUGGAAAAUAGAGUGCCCUCAGUAAUGAACACCACACCUUCUGAGGAGCCUGCACAACAGUGCCCCAUUUCCAGGACUUUGGCAGCCUCCUGACAUACACACCAGGUGUGCAUGCACCUCAGGGCUAGGGUCACACUCUGAAGAUGCUUGUCCCUUGCCCACUUCACAGAGGAUGCCACACGAGCAUUUUUUCUUCUCCGCCCGCAUUGUCUACCCUCAGUCUCCUCUGGAUUCCAGACUUCAUAUCUUGGACUAGGCUUCAUAAGGGGGUCUUGUGACAUCACUGUCUCCUGAACCAUCAACUCCUUCUACUUCAAUCACUGCAGAGGCUGAACAAUUGCACGUGGAAAUGGGACCAUGAGAUUUCAUCUCCUCGAGUCCUUGGUUCCUCCUGGCUUCUAAAGUUGUCAACGGGGCUGGAUGACAAAGAGAGGUCUGUGCCAUGAGGUAAGUUGUCACCAGUGGAAGACAGAAGGCAGAAGGGAACUCAACCAAUAAAUUCCUUCACCUUUCCUCACUACAGUGUAAUCUUCCAAUGGAUUCUUUGUUCUGCCUGUCUGCAGACUACUAACCUGGCUGAGUGAAUGCACCUGUUGAUCUGCUAUAUAUCUUCUUAUAUGAUUUGUUGUGUAGCAGACGCCAGUGCACUAAAUAUUACAUCGUCUUGCAUUCUCCUUAGUGUCACUUCCUUUUUCCCUCAGCCUUUCUGCUCUGGGAUGCACCUCCCACAUAAAGCAUCUAAACAUAAUCCUCUCCUCAGGUUCUGCUUUCUAGUGUAGUCAGGAUAAGAUGCACCAUUUCCCAGAGCAUUUGCAUUUUAAAAAUUACAAAAUUCUUAAGGAAAAGGAACAAGUAGUUAAAGGUGAACAUAUCAGCCUCAUUGGGAAUUAUUUUCAUUUCAGCAUAGAGUUCUCAAUAGCCUUGAAACUUUCUGCAUCUGCACUAAUAUGGUAUCCAUAUAUUCAAUCUUAUUCCAGUGUAUUAUAAUAUAUAGGCUCAUCAACAAUAGUAAAGUUAGGACUAUUCAUUAAGCAGUAAAGUAACAUUACCUUUUGAGCAUUUCUCACAAGGUAAUUCCUAUCUUAAUAUAUUAAGAAAGCUGCUUCUGUACCAGAUAAAGAGAAUGGCUACUGUAUUUGUUUUCUAGGGCUGCCAUAACAAAGUACCACUGUCUGACUAGCUUAAAAAAAUACACAUUUAUUUUCUUACCAUUCUAGAGGCUAAAAAUCCAAGGGCAAGGUGUUCAUAGAGUUCACUUCUCCUGAAGCCUCUCUCCUUGGCUUGUAGAUGCCGUCUUCUCUCUGUUUUCACAUGAUCGUCCCUCUGGGUGUGUCUGUGUCCUAAUCUCUUCUUAUAAAGAAACUAGUCCUAUUAGAUCAGGGCCCAGCCUAAAGGCCUCAUUUUACCUUAGUCACCCCUCUAAAGAGCCUAACUCCAAACACAGCCACAUUCUGAUAUACUGGCAUUUAGGGCUUCAAUAUAUGAAUUUUAGAGGGCACAAUUCAGAGCGUAACAGCCACCAUCUAUCUAUAAACGCUGAUUUUAGAGACCACAGAAUUGUUGGAUCAAGAGCAAAACAGAGCACUUUGGUGCCUAAGUGUAUCAGUUAGGGAUCACUGGUUGCAUGCAAUAAAACCACUCAGAACUGACCUAAGAGAAAAAAGAAAUGAUUCAAAAGAAAUGGGCAUAGUGUAUGAAAUUCAAGGAAGACCUAAAAAUUCAGGACUGAAUUGAAAAGGCACCCAGAGGCUCCAGGGAAUCUAUGCAGUGGGAAAAAAUAAUUUCUCUGCUACAUCCAUACCGCUGCUGGAGUGAGUGAGAACCAGCCACCUGCCCUUAGCCAUAACAGGAGGCAGUGCUCUAGUUCAGCGUCCAACUAACCUAGCAUUGGUCAUUCAUUGCUCCUUCCUUGACAAGAGGUGGAAAGGGCAUUUGUAGUCACAUCCUCACCAGUACUGCACACAAUAUAGGAGGUGUGCUUCUCCAAAAGAAAAUUGCAAUAAUGUUUCACUAAAAACGAGAGAUGGGUGUUUGAUGGUAAAGAAGGAAACAGAGAACGAAAAAAGGAAGGUAAGGACAAAGAAAAAAGGAAGGAGGAAAGAAAAAAGAAUGAAAGAAGUAAGGAAUAAAGGAAGGAAGGAUGAACGAAGGAAGGGAGGAAGGAAGGAAGGAGGGAGGGAAAGAAGUAAAGAAGAAAAGGAAGGAAAGAAUUAAAGGAAGGAGGAAAGAUGAAAGAAAGAAAGAAGAAAGGAAGAAGGAAGGAAGGAAAGAAGGAAGGGAGAAAAAAAGAAAAGAAAGAAAGAAAAGAAAGAAAGAAAAGAAAGAAAGAAAGAAAGAAAGAAAGAAAGAAAGAAAGAAAGAAAGAAAGAAAGAAAGAAAACAGCAUGGGAAAAGGAAGGAAGAAAAGAAAGAGAGAAAGAAAACAUUACAUCUAAAUUGGCUUGCAUUGUUCGUACAAAUUGGCUAAUCACUGGGCUUCCCCUUGUAGACAGAUUUGAGUCCACGAAGCAGGGAAGAACUUAGCCCCUUCUGCCAGUUUUUUUCUGCAUAUGUCUGUAUCUUAUCCACCGUUAGGUUUGGCAUUCUUGCCAUUCUUUCCUUGGCCACAAGCUGUGAGCACAGGGAGGACUCCGCUGACCUAGCAGGUGUCCAGCCGCCUGUGGGAGAGAUGAGCCCGAAGGCAGGUCCCUUACCAUGAAUUUUCUCGUUUCUGAUUAUUGCUCUUUGCUUCUACACCAUUUAAAUUGUGCCAUAUUUUACUUGCAGUUCUUUCAAGAUAUCUUUUUCGUUCUUUUUACUGUUACAGCCUGCUGGUGCCUCUUUUAAAGAGCCCGUGUCUUUUACAGUAUGAAAACAAUGGAAUCAUGUUUGUUAAGAGAACAGUUAUAAAGAAGCCUGCCAUCUGGAAGGAUAAGGUUGAUGGCAAUUUCUUGAUUUUUACUUCUACGGGAAGGAGCACAUAACUAAAGAAGGAUUUUUUCUCUCCUAUUAUAAAUCCAUGUAUCACAUUUCUGGGCAACUAUAUAAGUAUACUGUGUACCGAUCCUCAUUUUGUAUAAGCACCAUAUCAAGUUUGACCCAACAUGAGACCUGGGCAUUGUGAAACUGGUGUCCUAGCCUCUUAGUUCUGCAUCUGAUCUUUCCUUUGACAAACACCACGUUUCACCUCCCUUCAAUCGUAAGGGUGUCCAUACAUUCAUGUGGCAACUAAAUCACAGAUAUCCCCUUUGUCUUUUCAUGUUAGUCUAGGACACGGCUAUAGAACAGAGAUCAUCUAACAUUUCUGAAAAGACACAGAAAGUAAAUAUUUUUGGCUGAGUGGGCCAUAUGACUUCUGCAGCAACUAUCCAACCCUGCUGUUGUAGUGAAAAAGCAGGUGUGAGUGGUACACAGAUAAAUGAAUGUGGCUGUUUCCUUUAUUUACAUAAACAAGUAGUGGGCCAGAUUUGGCACAUGGGUUGUGGUUUGCUGACACAUGGUUGUGAGUUUUUCUUUUAUCACUAACCCACGGGGUGCUGACCAUUUAUCCAACAAUAAUUGCCAUCUGUUGAAUCUUAUAUGUCUACCUAUUAUAUGUCUAUGUAGCUUGUGGAAAUGUACUCAUCUUUACAACAACUCAAUAUUUACAUUCCCACCAACAUUGUAUUGUCAAAGAACAUGAACAGACAUGUCUCAAAAGAAGGCAUACAAGCAGCCAACAAACAUGAAAAAAUGCUCAAUAUUACUAAUCAUCAGAGAAAUGCAAAAUAAAACCACAGUGAGAUAACAUCUUACACCAGUCAGAUUGGCUACUGAUAAAAAGUCAAGAAACGACGAUAUUGCUGAGUAUGCAAGGAAAGGCAAUCUUUUAUACACUGUUGGUGGGAAUGUAAAUUAGUACAACCUCUAUGGAAAACAGUAUCAAGAUUUUUUUUUUAAAAUGAAUUCUUACUUUGUCGCCCAGGCUGGAGUGCAGUGGCACGAUCUUGGCUCACUGCAACCUCCAACUUUCGGGUUCAAGCGAUUCUCAUGCCUCAGCCUCCCAAGUAGUAUGAAGAAUUCUCAAAGAACUAACUACCAUUUGAUCCAAUAAUCCCACUUCUGGGUAACCACCCAAAGGAAAACAAAUUAUUAUACAUAAAAGAUACCUAUAUUCAUAUAUUUAUCUUUGCUAUCACAAUAGCAAAGAUAUGGAAUCAACCUAAGUGUCCACCAGUGAAUGGUAUGAUAAAGACAAUGUGAUACACACACACACACACACACACACACA
Molecule: long non-coding RNA, 4325 nt
Filed under: Homo sapiens (human)
Lineage: Eukaryota; Metazoa; Chordata; Mammalia; Primates; Hominidae
Description: HSALNT0279975
Source: RNAcentral